Molecule: microRNA precursor, 50 nt
Filed under: Drosophila guanche
Lineage: Eukaryota; Metazoa; Arthropoda; Insecta; Diptera; Drosophilidae
Source: RNAcentral
GUGUUGGGAGGGGGGGGGGGGGGGGGCCCCCCCCCCCCCCCUCCCAACAN